RNAcentral lists this ribosomal RNA (253 nucleotides) under uncultured bacterium. Its description in RNAcentral is "partial 16S ribosomal RNA". It matches the Rfam family "Bacterial small subunit ribosomal RNA", at positions 524 to 776 of the family's 1533-position model. The record is from RNAcentral.
UACGUAGGGUGCAAGCGUUGUCCGGAAUUAUUGGGCGUAAAGAGCUCGUAGGCGGUUUGUCGCGUCUGCUGUGAAAACUCGGGGCUUAACCCCGGGCCUGCAGUGGGUACGGGCAGACUAGAGUGCGGUAGGGGAGACUGGAAUUCCUGGUGUAGCGGUGAAAUGCGCAGAUAUCGGGAGGAACACCGGUGGCGAAGGCGGUUCUCUGGGCCUUACCUGACGCUGAGGAGCGAAAGCGUGGGGAGCGAACAGG